AUUUCCGGUUUUAUGUAAUGCAUUUAGCUCGUUCCAUUCUCAAUUCUCAUCCAUUUCGUUCGAAGCUGGCGACUAAGCAAGAUGAUCUUCAUUGCAAUCGCUUAUAUAUGCUGAACGUUUACUUCGCACCUUUAUAAUAAUGGCGAUAAAAUAAUGCUUCAGCUUGAGUGGCUAGCACGCCAAUACUGGGAAAAUGUUUACUGCAAAAUUUGUUCUUAACCACACGUUAAAAUAGUAGCGAAUAUCUUCGAUAAUUCAUUUCUGCACGAAUAUGUUAGCGAACGGUGGAACUUUUACAGACUACGACAGCAGGAAAACCAUUAGUAAAUGACUAGAAAAUUGGGGUUCAAUGAUUGAAUAAAUUUUGUUUUAUACUACAACGUUUUUUGAAUUACAAUAAAAAAUAUCGAUGAUUCUACUACACUGAUAUAUGAAAAUUAUGGAAGUACCAAAAAAAAAAAAAAACAUGAAAGAAAGAAUCUAAAACAGUUCAUCAUGUCCUAAUUCAAGACAAAAAAAGUUCAAAAAAGAACUAUUUAACCCUUAAGGAACAAUUUGAAAAAAAAAAAAAAAACAAAGAAAAUCGUUUUUGACCCAACGUAAUACAAAGUCGCUCGAGAGUUAACUCUCGAGCGUGCUACUUAAGAUGUUUAAACAUGAUUAAUACCAAACAGAGAAAAGAUAUUAGAUAAAAAUCGUCAAGAAAGAAGAGAAAUUAUGGCUAACGUUUUCUGUUACGUCCACAUUGAUCUGCAUUCAUCGAAUUUAACCGGGAUCCCAGCAGACAUCUUAAUUUUAUGAGAUUAAAGAAAAAGAUUUUCUAUCCUUGCGUUGUGGGUUGCAACUAAAUUUACAAUAAUAAUAAACAAUGUUCUCAAGAUUCAAAAAAUUAUACAAAUUCAUUGGAAAGUCGUGCAAAAAUAUACAUUAAUCUUCUGUCAUCUCAAUUUUGUACGAGUAACUAAAUAAUAUACAGAAAGCCAAAGCAGUAUACAAAAAGUCUGUGUAUGUAUGUGUGUGAUGUUGUAUGCACAAAAAGAAAGUACAUGGAAUUGUAAAUCAAUUUUAAUGAUCUUAGAAGAAGAAAAGUAUUAAAUUUUGGUAAAAAAAAAAAAAAAUACUAUUUUUGAUGAAGUGAAUUGAACAUGAGAAAGAUAUUAUUAUUACAUACAGGAUAAAUGUUUAUCGUAAUAUGUUAAAAAAAAAUA
Molecule: long non-coding RNA, 1208 nt
Filed under: Polistes dominula (European paper wasp)
Lineage: Eukaryota; Metazoa; Arthropoda; Insecta; Hymenoptera; Vespidae
Description: uncharacterized LOC107072197, transcript variant X2
Source: RNAcentral